Molecule: non-coding RNA, 78 nt
Organism: Schistosoma rodhaini
Lineage: Eukaryota; Metazoa; Platyhelminthes; Trematoda; Strigeidida; Schistosomatidae
Source: Rfam
AGCCUUCUGAAUCAGUGCCGAGAUUUCGUCAGGCACAAAACCAUCAGUACUGAUGGGACCCUCAAGAAAAGUGAAGCG